Molecule: signal recognition particle RNA, 271 nt
Filed under: Colobus angolensis palliatus
Lineage: Eukaryota; Metazoa; Chordata; Mammalia; Primates; Cercopithecidae
Description: Metazoan signal recognition particle RNA (ENSCANG00000014062.1)
Rfam family: Metazoan signal recognition particle RNA
About the family: The signal recognition particle (SRP) is a universally conserved ribonucleoprotein. It is involved in the co-translational targeting of proteins to membranes.
Source: RNAcentral
ACCUGUAGUCUCAGCUACUCGGGAGGUUUAGGCAGGAGGAUCAUUUGAGCCCAGGAGUUCUGGGCUGUAGUGCGCUAUGCUGACCCACUAAAUUCUGCAUCAACAUGGUGACCUCCUGGGAGUAGGGGACCACCAGGUUGCCUAAGGAGGGGCGGACAGGUCCUGGUCAGAAACAGAGCAGGUGAAAGCUCCUGGGCUGAUUAAUAGUGGGAUAGCACUUGUGAAUAGCCACUGCACUUUAGCCUGGGCAAUAUAGCAAGACUUUGUCUCU